Molecule: ribosomal RNA, 253 nt
Filed under: uncultured bacterium
Lineage: Bacteria
Description: partial 16S ribosomal RNA
Rfam family: Bacterial small subunit ribosomal RNA
Source: RNAcentral
UACGUAGGGUCCGAGCGUUGUCCGGAAUUAUUGGGCGUAAAGAGCUCGUAGGCGGUUUGUCGCGUCUGCUGUGAAAUCCCGAGGCUCAACCUCGGGUCUGCAGUGGGUACGGGCAGACUGGAGUGCGGUAGGGGAGAAUGGAAUUCCUGGUGUAGCGGUGGAAUGCGCAGAUAUCAGGAGGAACACCGAUGGCGAAGGCAGUUCUCUGGGACGGUACUGACGCUGAGGCGCGAAAGCGUGGGGAGCGAACAGG